AAAAAGAGACAAAACCUAGGUUUUUCCGUCUUAUAUAAUUUUUUUUUAUAAUUCAUAUUUUAUUAUUAUUAGAUGAUAAAACAUGAUUAACAUUUUAUGUGUGACUUGUCUUUUUAAUUUUUUUCAUAAUUUUUUUAAAUAAGACGGACGGUCAAAUGUUGGACAUGGAAACCAGGGUUUGCAUUUUUU
Molecule: microRNA precursor, 189 nt
Organism: Oryza sativa Japonica Group (Japanese rice)
Lineage: Eukaryota; Viridiplantae; Streptophyta; Magnoliopsida; Poales; Poaceae
Rfam family: MIR812 microRNA precursor family
Source: Rfam